Molecule: transfer RNA, 71 nt
Filed under: Dipodomys ordii (Ord's kangaroo rat)
Lineage: Eukaryota; Metazoa; Chordata; Mammalia; Rodentia; Heteromyidae
Rfam family: tRNA
About the family: Transfer RNA (tRNA) molecules are approximately 80 nucleotides in length.
Source: Rfam by way of RNAcentral
UGGAAAGUGGCUCAGUGGUAGAGUGCUUGCCUUGCAUGCAUGAGGCCCUGGGUUCGAUUCCUCAGUACCAC